GACGAACGCUGGCGGCGUGCUUAACACAUGCAAGUCGAACGGAAAGGCCCUGCUUUUGUGGGGUGCUCGAGUGGCGAACGGGUGAGUAACACGUGAGUAACCUGCCCUUGACUUUGGGAUAACUUCAGGAAACUGGGGCUAAUACCGGAUAGGAGCUCCUGCUGCAUGGUGUGGGUUGGAAAGUUUCGGCGGUUGGGGAUGGACUCGCGGCUUAUCAGCUUGUUGGUGGGGUAGUGGCUUACCAAGGCUUUGACGGGUAGCCGGCCUGAGAGGGUGACCGGCCACAUUGGGACUGAGAUACGGCCCAGACUCCUACGGGAGGCAGCAGGGGGGAAUAUUGCACAAUGGGCGGAAGCCUGAUGCAGCAACGCCGCGUGCGGGAUGACGGCCUUCGGGUUGUAAACCGCUUUCGCCUGUGACGAAGCGUGAGUGACGGUAAUGGGUAAAGAAGCACCGGCUAACUACGUG
RNAcentral lists this ribosomal RNA (468 nucleotides) under uncultured bacterium. RNAcentral's name for it is "partial 16S ribosomal RNA". It matches the Rfam family "Bacterial small subunit ribosomal RNA", at positions 28 to 507 of the family's 1533-position model. The record is from RNAcentral.